GUCGACGGUUAAGCAUCUUCGGAUGUGUAUAAAGUGGCGAACGGCUGAGUAACACGUGGGCAACCUGCCCUUUGCACUGGGAUAGCCUCGGGAAACCGAGGUUAAUACCGGAUACUCCAUAUUUGUCGCAUGGCGAAUAUGGGAAAGCUCCGGCGGCAAAGGAUGGGCCCGCGGCCUGUUAGCUAGUUGGUGGGGUAGUGGCCUACCAAGGCAAUGAUGGGUAGCCGGGUUGAGAGACCGACCGGCCAGAUUGGGACUGAGACACGGCCCAGACCCCUACGGGAGGCAGCAGUGGGGAAUCUUGCACAAUGGGCGAAAGCCUGAUGCAGCGACGCCGCGUGCGGGAUGAAGGCCUUCGGGUUGUAAACCGCUUUCAGCAGGGACGAGGCCGCAAGGUGACGGUACCUGCAGAAGAAGCCCCGGCUAACUACGUGCCAGCAGCCGCGGUAAUACGUAGGGGGCAAGCGUUAUCCGGAUUCAUUGGGCGUAAAGCGCGCGUAGGCGGUCUGUUAGGUCAGGAGUUAAAUCUGGGGGCUCAACCCCUAUCCGCUCCUGAUACCGGCAGGCUUGAGUCUGGUAGGGGAAGAUGGAAUUCCAAGUGUAGCGGUGAAAUGCGCAGAUAUUUGGAAGAACACCGGUGGCGAAGGCGGUCUUCUGGGCCAUGACUGACGCUGAGGCGCGAAAGCUAGGGGAGCGGACAGGAUUAGAUACCCUAGUAG
Molecule: ribosomal RNA, 719 nt
Filed under: uncultured bacterium
Lineage: Bacteria
Description: bacterial SSU rRNA
Rfam family: Bacterial small subunit ribosomal RNA
Source: RNAcentral